Molecule: ribosomal RNA, 643 nt
Filed under: uncultured archaeon
Lineage: Archaea
Description: bacterial SSU rRNA
Rfam family: Archaeal small subunit ribosomal RNA
Source: RNAcentral
AACACGCGGAUAACAUGCCCUUGGGUGGGGGAUAACCUCGGGAAACUGAGAAUAAUACCCCAUAGAUCUAGAAAGCUGGAAUGCUUUUAGAUCGAAAACUCCGGUGCCCAAGGAUUGGUCUGCGGCGUAUCAGGUUGUAGUGGGUGUAACGGACCCCCUAGCCUAUGACGCGUAAGGGCCUUGAGAGAGGGAGCCCUGAGAUGGACUCUGAGACAUGAGUCCAGGCCCUACGGGGCGCAGCAGUCGCGAAAACUUCACAAUGGGGGAAACCCCGAUGAGGGAAUUCCAAGUGCCAGCACAUUGUGUUGGCUGUUCUCUGGUCUAAAAAACCGGAGAAGUAAGGGCCGGGUAAGACGGGUGCCAGCCGCCGCGGUAAUACCCGCGGCCCAAGUGGUGGUCGAUAUUAUUGAGCCUAAAACGUCCGUAGCCGGUCUUGUAAAUCCUUGGGUAAAUCGACCAGCUUAACUGUUCGAAGUCCGGGGAGACUGCAAGACUUGGGAUCGGGAGAGGUGAGAGGUACUUCUGGGGUAGGGGUAAAAUCCUGUAAUCCUAGAAGGACCACCGGUGGCGAAGGCGUCUCACUAGAACGAAUCCGACGGUGAGGGACGAAGCCCUGGGGCGCAAACGGGAUUAGAUACCCCGG